AUCUGCAGGGUUUAAUUGGAAACCCACCCUGGGUCUGUUUCUGUGUGCUUUACACUGUUCCCGGAAGACACAGGCCUGUGUAAAAGACUGAUGAGCUGACACACUGUGUUAGGACGUCCAAGAUUCUUUCUGCAGUGUAGGAUGAUGGAGAGCAGUGUGAAUGUGACGUGUGCAGAGAUUCAGAUCAGAGACGGGUUUGAGUUCAGAGUUCCUGCUGACAGAUUCACUCUCUUCCAUCAGUCUGACUGUGAACCGCUCUGGUACUCACAGGAUGAUCGUCUGAUAGCAGAUCCAUCAGAUCCUCAAACACUGAUUGAUCCUGUGAUUUCUGUGUCUUCUGAUCGUCUCGUCACGUCUCGCUGUGUGAAUCUGAUUCAUGAGAUCCGCUGUGAUGCUUCAGGAGUAAAUCAACCCAAUCUCUCUCUGCAUUCAUCUGUUUAAUAUUAAUGUAUUAUUAAAAUGCUGUUCUAAUACCUAUU
Molecule: long non-coding RNA, 479 nt
Organism: Cyprinus carpio (common carp)
Lineage: Eukaryota; Metazoa; Chordata; Actinopteri; Cypriniformes; Cyprinidae
Source: Ensembl